GAUUGCCUACGGGACGCAGCAGUGAGGAGUAUUGGUCAAUGGACGAGAGUCUGAACCAGCCAAGUAGCGUGAAGGAUGACUGCCCUAUGGGUUGUAAACUUCUUUUAUAUGGGAAUAAAACAGGGUAUGCAUACCCUCUUGUAUGUACCAUAUGAAUAAGGAUCGGCUAACUCCGUGCCAGCAGCCGCGGUAAUACGGAGGAUCCGAGCGUUAUCCGGAUUUAUUGGGUUUAAAGGGUGCGCAGGCGGAAGAUCAAGUCAGCGGUAAAAUUGAGAGGCUCAACCUCUUCGAGCCGUUGAAACUGG
RNAcentral lists this ribosomal RNA (305 nucleotides) under uncultured bacterium. RNAcentral describes it as "bacterial SSU rRNA". It matches the Rfam family "Bacterial small subunit ribosomal RNA", at positions 333 to 636 of the family's 1533-position model. The record is from RNAcentral.